Molecule: ribosomal RNA, 492 nt
Filed under: uncultured bacterium
Lineage: Bacteria
Description: partial 16S ribosomal RNA
Rfam family: Bacterial small subunit ribosomal RNA
Source: RNAcentral
AGUGAACGCUGGCGGUAGGCCUAACACAUGCAAGUCGAACGGCAGCACAGUAAGAGCUUGCUCUUACGGGUGGCGAGUGGCGGACGGGUGAGGAAUACAUCGGAAUCUACUUUUUCGUGGGGGAUAACGUAGGGAAGCUUACGCUAAUACCGCAUACGACCUACGGGUGAAAGCAGGGGAUCUUCGGACCUUGCGCGAUUGAAUGAGCCGAUGUCGGAUUAGCUAGUUGGCGGGGUAAAGGCCCACCAAGGCGACGAUCCGUAGCUGGUCUGAGAGGAUGAUCAGCCACACUGGAACUGAGACACGGUCCAGACUCCUACGGGAGGCAGCAGUGGGGAAUAUUGGACAAUGGGCGCAAGCCUGAUCCAGCCAUACCGCGUGGGUGAAGAAGGCCUUCGGGUUGUAAAGCCCUUUUGUUGGGAAAGAAAAGCAGCAGGUUAAUACCCCGCUGUUCUGACGGUACCCAAAGAUUAAGCACCGGCUAACUUCGUG